Molecule: non-coding RNA, 792 nt
Filed under: Coccidioides immitis RMSCC 3703
Lineage: Eukaryota; Fungi; Ascomycota; Eurotiomycetes; Onygenales; Onygenaceae
Description: Bacterial small subunit ribosomal RNA
Rfam family: Bacterial small subunit ribosomal RNA
Source: Rfam by way of RNAcentral
UAAAAAUUGAGUUUGAUGAUGGCUCUGAUUGAACGCUAUCCAAGUGCUUGACACAUGCUAAUCGAACGUCAUUAUCUAUAUAAGAUAAUGAAGUGGUGUACAGGUGAGUAAAUAUUUUAACUACCUUAAAGAAAGGGGAAAAUCCCUUAUAAAAAAAAAUAAAACAAAGUUUUGCUUUAAGAUGUUAAUAAAUAUAUCGGAAAGUAUUAGAUAAGGUAAAAACUUAACUAGCGAUAAUUCCGUAGUCGAGACUGAGAGGUCGAUCGAUCACAUUGGGUCUGAAAAAAGCCCAAUGCGUAUUAGUACAGCAGUGAGGAAUAUUGGUCAAUGGCCUAACGGCUGAACCAGCAACUUGGAAGAAUGAGAAGUAUUAAAAAAAAUUAAUACGAAACGAAUAUAUCGUAUGAAAUUCUAGAUAAAUUAUUGAUAAUGACAAUUAUUUAUUUAUAAGUCUUGACCAAAUUACGUGCCAGCAGUCGCGGUAAUACGUAGAAGACUAGUGUUAAUCAUCUUUAUUAGGUUUAAAGGGUACCUAGACGGUAAAUUAAACCCGAGAGGGUACUUUUUUACUAGAGUUUUAUAAGAGAAGGGGAGAAUUUUUGGAGUAAAGAUAAAAUUUAAUUAUACCAAAAGGACUGAUAACGGCGUAGGCGGCCUUUUAUGUAAAAACUGACGUUGAGGGACGAAGGCUUGGGUAGCAAUAAGGAUGUGCGACUUGUUAAGUUUUAACAAAAAUUGUAUAACGUUUAUUAAUGAUUAUACAUUGUAUUUCAUCUUACAAUAGCCUAAUUA